This 420-nucleotide ribosomal RNA is filed under the name Bacteroides fragilis str. 2-F-2 #7. RNAcentral describes it as "bacterial SSU rRNA". It matches the Rfam family "Bacterial small subunit ribosomal RNA", at positions 1099 to 1527 of the family's 1533-position model. Lineage: Bacteria; Pseudomonadati; Bacteroidota; Bacteroidia; Bacteroidales; Bacteroidaceae. The record is from RNAcentral.
CAACCCUUAUCUUCAGUUACUAACAGGUCAUGCUGAGGACUCUGGAGAGACUGCCGUCGUAAGAUGUGAGGAAGGUGGGGAUGACGUCAAAUCAGCACGGCCCUUACGUCCGGGGCUACACACGUGUUACAAUGGGGGGUACAGAAGGCAGCUAGCGGGUGACCGUAUGCUAAUCCCAAAAGCCUCUCUCAGUUCGGAUCGAAGUCUGCAACCCGACUUCGUGAAGCUGGAUUCGCUAGUAAUCGCGCAUCAGCCACGGCGCGGUGAAUACGUUCCCGGGCCUUGUACACACCGCCCGUCAAGCCAUGGGAGCCGGGGGUACCUGAAGUACGUAACCGCAAGGAUCGUCCUAGGGUAAAACUGGUGACUGGGGCUAAGUCGUAACAAGGUAGCCGUACCGGAAGGUGCGGCUGGAACACC